AGGAUGAAUAAAGGCCUCAACUGCCCUGGAAGAUGAGGGAUCCCAGGCAGAGGACAGGUGUAAAGGCUGGCGGGCUCAGCGGGCAGUUGCCAAAGAGAGAAACUUAAAGUAACAUUCCACCUUUGGCUAAUUGGAAAUGCCCACUACCUUUUGGGAAGAUUUACUGGCCAUUUUCAGAAGGCCUGUGUAUAUAAUAUGAAAAAGCUGCUCUCAACAUUCCCCCAACCUUUUAAAAGAAAACUUGCUGCAUGUGAUAAAGUAGUUAGAAAAACCACACGUCUUGGAAACGCCCAUUUAUUUUAAAAAAUGACAGAAAAGAAACGUUUUCUGAAAGUGACUUUGAAAUGAAGUUGGGUAGACCACCUGGAGAAGCGACACUGGGAGUGAUUCUUGUCUGCAUUUGUUCUGUGAGUUAGAGGACUCGGAGAAGACGGAAGAGAAGAAUGUCCAGUACCAGACUGGUUACAUGUAGAAGAUGUUGUUUGUAUUGUAACCAUUGUUUUGUGUGUGCAUUUUAGUCCUCAUUAGUAUAUAUAUAAUUGACAAUGCUAAGUACUUUAUUGAACCAUCUGGUCUUUUUUGAGAUAAUUCUCAAGUGCCUGAUACAUGUUAAAAAGUAGUAGUAGUAAAAUAACACAUUUUGUAAAUUUCUUUUUUGUUUGAACUCACAUGAAGUGCUAUUUUGUGGGGGAAGUAGGCAAACCCCUCUUGAGUAGUACACAUUGUUUUUGCACUGGUUCUCGGAAGAGAAGGAAAUGCAGAGCACUGUGCUAGUGCACUUAUAGCAAGGCAAGUUACUAUUGCCCCUUAUGUCUGUGCAUUUUUACUUUGCUGUGUAUGUAGGGUAUGUAAAAAGAUAAAUGAGACCUUAUACAGCAUCUAGUCUUGCUAGAUGUUAAAGAGGUUCCCAGUGUAUGACAGUAGAAUUAGUAAACUAACAUGUUGUAUACACUUUUGUGUUAAAAUUCAUUAGAAUGUUCUUAAAACCACUUAGUAAGUGAAAUUGUUAAAGCCUCUUGUAAGUAUUACAUAUCCAUAUAUCUGUCCCCGGUGUUAAAAAGGAUGGAAAGGGGAAAGGGCUCUAGACAAGAGUGUUCCUAUUUGGAUGAUACUUUAAAAUUUAGCCUUUGUUAAGUAUAUGUGUGCAAUUUACUCAAUCCCAUUAUAUAUGUGAGACAUUUUAAGUUCUUACUGGAAACAUCUAGUCUUUCUAGAUGUUUAAAGUUCAUGGGCCAGGGAUGUAGCUCAGUGAUGCCACCACCUGCCUCACAAGCGCAAGGUCCUGAGAGUUCAAUCUCUGGCACCAAAAAUAAAUAAAAUAAAGUUCACACAUGUAGAAGUCAAGGGCUAAUAUAAUGCGCUUUAAAUAUUUUUUAUUACUUCACAGGAAUGGUUGUAUUUUGAAUGAAACUGUCAAACUUGAUGUCUUGGAGAGUAUGCUGGGGAGCAGGAGGGGAAGUAUGCAGAGAGGGAGGUUUAUGUGAGUUCAGAUUGUCUUGCUGUUGUUCUAUAUGUACAUGUUAAUACUGCUGGGUGUUAAAGGAUAAGUUUUACUGCCCAAAUUAUGUUAGAAAUAGCAAAGUAGUUUUUAGGAAGAACUGUCUUCUGGAAGUGACCUUUGUUACAGCCACCUCUUGGAGCUAGAUGUCCUAAACUUAAGUUGCUGAAGUGAAGAGGGAAAAGGGUGGGUGAGGGUGGUAAGAGGUCUUUGCUAGAUCUCCAUAUCUGGAAGAUGAUUUUAAAUUAAAACCAUAGGGCUGUGGGUGCAUAUUUGGUAAAGUACUUGGGCGUAGAGCACAAAGUUCGCACCAUUGCACAGCAUCUAAGCUUUAUAGAUGUCAGGGGUGACAAUGUACCAUAAAAACUUGAGGUAGUGAAUUAGGCAACAUUUAAAGUGUCUUUGUUAUAAUUAAUAGAAAAGAUGCAUCUUGGACUUGGAAUUGUUAUAAUACUUUUAAGCAGUAUGCAUCAGGACUUGUUGUUAGGCUGGCAGCAGAGGGGCAGAAAUAAGCACACAGAUGUGAGCAAAGUGUUCAGAUUUAAAUUUUGGUGAAAGGAAUCAAAAUGUGUAGAAAUACAUUAAUAAUUCAGUGGGAAUAUGCCUUCUUGCUAAUAUCUUGAUAGAGAUCUGAUAACUCUCAGAUACAUAGCUUGGUGUACUCUGUUGCUUUAUGUCUCACUUUAAAUUGAGCAUUAAGGAAAUACAGUAUUGUAAUUUAACUUUGCCAAUACUUCUAUAUAGAGGCCUAUUGCCGUUUUUAUCUUCAGUGAAAUUUUUGUUCCCAAGAAAGGCAGGAUUAUUUAUUCUAACAGAUUGAGUUGGUGUAGUGUGUUCUUAGUUAUCAAAAAUACCCUUGUAGCUUUGGGAUUUUGAAUUGAUGAAUAUUCAUGAUGUGUAGAAAAGCAUGGCACACACUGUACAAACUCAGUCACACAAAAUGGCAUGUUGUAUAUGUACGCACAGGACCUAGAAGAACACAUCCAGCUAAGCUGCUUAUGAUUGCGAAUGACUUUGUUCUUUGCUUCUUGAGUUUUUGUUUCCUGUAAUGCACGUUAACUUUAAAAAAUAAAAAUUAUUUUAAAAAACUCAUAAGGAGUCCCCAUUGCUUGUGGGAUAAAGUUAGCAUAGUCUGUAGGAGCACAUCAUUCAUGUUCCUGGAAGUCUUAUAUCUUCAAGACACUCCCUUGCCUAGGCACCCCUCCCCCACACAUGUUCUGCUGUUCUUCAAGAUGGCCUUGCACUUGGGUGGUUCCAUGGUUUGCUCACGCUGGUCUACCACUACUUCCCUUUUGACAAUGGUUCACUUUGCAAAAUUAUUCUUCAGAACUCUACUUAAAUUCUAGUUUCUAUAUAGUCUUGCCAGUAAGAAUGUGACAGCCCAGAAUUAAAGUGUUCCCCUUUUUUUCCAGUUCCUACUUGUUCCUCAUAUUUGGAAACCACUUGUUAGCUGAAAGCCUUCUGGAUUGAGCUUGGGUUUAUAUCACGUCCACAACCACAGGAUGCAGCAUAGUACUACCUGACAUGGAGCAGAUACUUAGAAGAUGUCAGUUGAAUAAAACAGAAGUUCAGCUUUUCAUGGUCCUUCUUAUAUGACAUUACCAUCACAGGCACCAAAUAGUCUGGGGUUCCACAGUUGGAAGUUUCUAUUGUGGUUGACUAAACCAGAUGGUAGAGGUCAGAUGCAAGUACCAAUCAUCCCCAAUUAGGCUAGUGGAAUAGCACAGGGUUCUUAUUCUCAUCUUGGACAUGAGGUUUAUGAGACAUUGGCCUCCAGAUGUGGGAAUAUAGUAUGUCUCUAGGUGCUGUUGGUGUAAUCUGCAUGGGCUGGGAACCCAAGGACAGACAGAGGAGGCUCUUGUAGGUCCCUUCUCAGCUGAACAUAAGGCCAGGGCCCAAUCCUCUCAUGCUGAUGCCC
Molecule: long non-coding RNA, 3416 nt
Organism: Heterocephalus glaber (naked mole-rat)
Lineage: Eukaryota; Metazoa; Chordata; Mammalia; Rodentia; Bathyergidae
Source: Ensembl